This 498-nucleotide ribosomal RNA is filed under the name uncultured bacterium. RNAcentral describes it as "bacterial SSU rRNA". It matches the Rfam family "Bacterial small subunit ribosomal RNA", at positions 28 to 507 of the family's 1533-position model. The record is from RNAcentral.
GAUGAACGCUAGCGGCAGGCCUAAUACAUGCAAGUCGUACGGCAACACAGUUGCGAGCAAUCGCAACCGGUGGCGAGUGGCGCACGGGUGAGUAACGCGUAUGUAACCUACCCUUCUCCGGGACAUAACUCCGCGAAAGCGGUGCUAAUAUCCCAUACCAACUCAUCAAGACAUCUUCUUGAGUUGAAAGCAGCAAUGCGGUGAAGGAUGGGCAUGCGUCCCAUUAGCUGGUUGGUGAGGUAAUGGCCCACCAAGGCUACGAUGGGUAGGGGUUCUGAGAGGAAAGCCCCCCCAACUGGUACUGAGACACGGACCAGACUCCUACGGGAGGCAGCAGUAAGGAAUAUUGGGGCAAUGGUCGAAAGACUGACCCAGCCCAUGCCGCGUGCAGGAUGAAGGCCUUGGGUUGUAAACUGCUUUUGUACGGAACGAAACGGCGAGCUCUAAUACAGUUUGCUAAUGACGGUACCGUAAGAAUAAGCACCGGCUAACUACGUG